GUGUUCCAUUGAAAAUGCUCUAACUGUAUUUAACGUAACGAAGAAUCGAACUUACAACUAUCACUAUUCCAUAUAGCAAAAUAGCAUAGAUCAUGAAUUAAAAUUCAACACAUAUGUAUUGUCAUGUUACCCAAUUGGCAACCUAAACGUACAUAAAAUGAACUCUAUCAACUAAGCAUUAGACCCUACACGGAAAUGUAAACCCUAAUC
Molecule: long non-coding RNA, 210 nt
Filed under: Brassica napus (rape)
Lineage: Eukaryota; Viridiplantae; Streptophyta; Magnoliopsida; Brassicales; Brassicaceae
Description: long non-coding RNA (BNAP_LNC024179)
Source: RNAcentral